ACGGAGAGUUUGAUCCUGGCUCAGGAUGAACGCUGGCGGCGUGCUUAACACAUGCAAGUCGAACGAACCUUCGGGUUAGUGGCGGACGGGGGAGUAACGCGUGAGAAUCUGCCCUCAGGAGGGGGAUAACGGCUGGAAACGGCCGCUAAUACCCCAUAUGCCGCGAGGUGAAAUGAAUUUCGCCUGAGGAUGAGCUCGCGUCUGAUUAGCUAGUUGGUGGGGUAAAGGCCUACCAAGGCGACGAUCCAUAGCUGGUCUGAGAGGACGAUCAGCCACACUGGAACUGAGACACGGUCCAGACUCCUACGGGAGGCAGCAGCUGAG
RNAcentral lists this ribosomal RNA (324 nucleotides) under Alexandrium tamarense. Its description in RNAcentral is "partial Bacterial small subunit ribosomal RNA". It matches the Rfam family "Bacterial small subunit ribosomal RNA", at positions 1 to 358 of the family's 1533-position model. Lineage: Eukaryota; Dinophyceae; Gonyaulacales; Pyrocystaceae. The record is from RNAcentral.